This 392-nucleotide ribosomal RNA is filed under the name uncultured soil bacterium. RNAcentral's name for it is "bacterial SSU rRNA". It matches the Rfam family "Bacterial small subunit ribosomal RNA", at positions 66 to 444 of the family's 1533-position model. The record is from RNAcentral.
GCGAGAAAGGGCUUCGGCCCCGGUACAGCGGCGCACGGGUGAGUAACACGUAGGUAAUCUACCCCUGAAUGGUGGAUAACCCUCCGAAAGGAGGGCUAAUACAGCAUAAGACCACGGCUUCUUCGGAGGCUGAGGCCAAAGCGGGCCACUUUACAAAAGCUCGCGUUUGGGGAUGAGCCUGCGGCCCAUCAGCUAGUUGGCGGUGUAACGGACCACCAAGGCUAAGACGGGUAGCUGGUCUGAGAGGAUGAACAGCCACACUGGAACUGAGACACGGUCCAGACUCCUACGGGAGGCAGCAGUGGGGAAUCUUGCGCAAUGGGCGAAAGCCUGACGCAGCGACGCCGCGUGAGUGAUGAAGGCCUUCGGGUUGUNNNGCUCUGUGGGGAGAG